CUUAUCCAGAGCGGCGGAGGGAAUAGGCCCUGUGAAGCCCGGCAACCGGAGUCAAAUCCGGUGCUAAAUCCUACGACAGCGAUGUCGGCAGAUGAG
This 96-nucleotide non-coding RNA is filed under the name pig gut metagenome. RNAcentral's name for it is "SAM riboswitch (S box leader)". It matches the Rfam family "SAM riboswitch aptamer (S box leader)". From Rfam's summary of the family: The SAM riboswitch is found upstream of a number of genes which code for proteins involved in methionine or cysteine biosynthesis in Gram-positive bacteria. The SAM riboswitch acts at the level of transcription termination control. The record is from RNAcentral.